UUAUUAAGUCUUUCCACUUUUCUGUGGAAAGACUUAUUGUUUUUGUUCUGAUUAUUAGGUCUUUCCACCUUUCCGUGGAAAGACCUAUAGGUUUUGUUCUGAUUAUUAUUAUUAUUUUUUUUCUUCCGCCUAAUUCUUUUCUUGCGUAAUAUUGAUGUUUCAAAAGAUGUCGCUUAGAUAUUUGGAAUAUGAUAUCAUAUAGUUUAUACGCUUUAAAUACUGACAAUGGCGUAUCAAAAUACUUAACGUUGUAAGAGUUAUCUCCCCAAACACUGUUUUUCUUGUGGCCACUACUCCUUCGCAACCGUAAAAGAUUAUGACAAAAUUAUUUUACCAAAUUGCUCGUUACAUCUUCAGGAUUAGGAUUUUAAUUUUGACCGAAGCUAUCCGGAGACUCCAUAUGAGAGUUAUUCCCCCUUAUGUAUUUGAUAUAGGUGAUAUGCGUUUCUAACUUGUAAACUAUAAGUGAUAGAGACCUAGGGUCUUCAGAUUUGAGAUCCUUAGUCCAAAAAAAUGAAAAUCAGGUCAAGGUCAAAGGUCAAGGUCAUAUUCUAAAAUUUGAUUUUGGCUUAUUUUCACUUAUUUUUAAAUACCGUAUGACAUAUCGACAAAUAUUUUUUCCAAAAUUGUUAGUUGCGACAUGUCCUUACUUGUAUAUUUUGGUUGAAAGGGUGCGCACACAAGAAAUGGGAGUUUUUGUCCAUCUUACAUUUAGAAUUACGCGUAAAGUGGUAUUACUCAUUAACCAAACAUAUUAAAGACCUAGGGUCUUUUGAUUUAAGGUCCUUGGUUUGUGACCUUGAAAUUGAGGUCAAGGUCAUAGGUUUAUACAACGUUCUAGAUUUUGACCUUUGCUUUAAAUUCAUAUAAAUACAUCAUAAAGCCAUAGGAACUAACAUUUGAAACUGAUUUUUCAUAUUUCAAUAUCAAAAUAGAUCUUUACAAGUGGAAAGACCUACAAUUGUUCUCUGAACAAUUGGUUUUUAAUUAUUAUUAUUAUUAUUAUUAUUAUUUUUUUUUUUCUUCCGCCUAAUUUUUUUCUUGCGUAGUAUUGUUGUUUAAUAAGUUGUCGCUUAGAUAUUUGGAAUAUGAUAUGGUAUAGUUUAUACGCUUUAAAAAUUUACAACUGCGUAACAAAAUACUUUACGUUGUAAGAGUUAUCUCCCCAAACACUGUUUUUCUUGUGGCCACUACUCCUUCGCAACCGUAAAAGAUUACGACAAAAUUAUUUUACCAAAUUGCUCGUUACAUCUUCAGGAUUAGGAUUUUAAUUUUGACUGAAGCUAUCCAGAGACUCCAUAUGAGAGUUAUUCCCCCUUAUGUAUGUGAUAUAGGUGAUAUGCGUUUCUAACUGGUAAACCAUCAGUGAUAUAGGGCUACGGUGUUUGGAUUUAAGUUCCUUGGUCCAAAAAAAUGAAAAUAAGGUCAAGGUCAAAGGUCAAGGUCAUAUUCUAAAUUUUGAUUUUGGCUUAUUUUCUCUUAUUUUCAACAACCGUGAAAGAUAUUGACAAAUUAUUUUUACUAAAUUGUGAGUUUUGACAUAUUGUAACUUAUAAAUUUUGGUUGGAAGGGUGCGUAAACAAUAAAUGAGAGUUUUCGCCCAUCUUAUAUUUAAAAUCAUGCCUAAAGUGAUAUAACUCAUUAACCAUACAUAUUAAAGACCUAGGGUCUUUUUAUUUGAGGUCCUUGGUUGGUGACCUUGAAAUUGAGGUCAAGGUCAAAGUUAAUAGGACGUUCUAGAUUUUGACCUUUGCUUUAAAUUCAUAUUUAUACAUUAUAAAGUCAUAGGAACUGACAUUUUAGAUUGAUUUUUAAUAUUUUGAUUAUAAAAUAGAUUUUUACUUGUGGAAAGACCUUCAAUUGUUCUUUGAAUUAUUAGGUCUUUCCACCUUUCCGUGGAAAGACCUAUUGAAUUUGUUCUGAUUAUUAUUAUUAUUAUUAUUUUUUUUUUUUUUUUCUUCCGCCUAAUUUUUUUUCUUGCGUAUUAUUGAUGUUUCAAAAGAUGUCGCUUAGAUAUUUGGAAUAUGGUAUCGUAUAGUUUAUACGCUUUAAAAAUUUACAACUGUGUAACAAAAUACUUUACGUUGUAAGAGUUAUCUCCCCAAACACUGUUUUUCUUGUGGCCACUACUCCUUCGCAACCGUUAAAGAUUACGACAAAUUUAUUUUACCAAAUUGCUCGUUACAUCUUCAGCAUUAGGAUAUUCAUUUGGACCGAAGCUUUACGGAGACUCCAUAUGAGAGUUAUUCCCCCUUUUCCCUUAAAUAAAGUGAUAUGCAUUUCUAAAUGGUAAACCAUAAGUGAUAAAGACAUAGGGUCUUUAGAUUUGGGGUCCUUGGUCGAAAAUAAUAAAAAUGAGGUCAAGGUCAAAGGUCAAGGUCAUAUUCUAAAUUUUGAUUUUGGCUUAU
This 2408-nucleotide long non-coding RNA is filed under the name Mytilus galloprovincialis (Mediterranean mussel). The record is from RNAcentral. Lineage: Eukaryota; Metazoa; Mollusca; Bivalvia; Mytilida; Mytilidae.